GGGAGGUAGUGACAAUAAAUAACAAUACGGGGUUCUUAUGGAUUUCGUAAUUGGAAUGAGUACAAUUUAAAUCUCUUAACGAGGAACAAUUGGAGGGCAAGUCUGGUGCCAGCAGCCGCGGUAAUUCCAGCUCCAAUAGCGUAUAUUAAAGUUGCUGCAGUUAAAAAGCUCGUAGUUGAAUUUCGGGACCAUCAUGUCGGUCGUGCCUCGGUACGUACUGGUAUUGUUGGUUUCUCCCUUCUAACGAACCAUGAUGUCAUUUAUUUGGUGUUGUGGGGAAUCAGGACUGUUACUUUGAAAAAUUAGAGUGUUUAAAGCAGGCUCACGCUUGAAUACAUCAGCAUGGAAUAAUGAAAUAGGACGUUUGAUUCUAUUUUGUUGGCUUCUAGGAUCGACGCAAUGAUUAAUAGGGGAUAGUUGGG
RNAcentral lists this ribosomal RNA (422 nucleotides) under uncultured Glomeraceae. Its description in RNAcentral is "SSU rRNA". It matches the Rfam family "Eukaryotic small subunit ribosomal RNA", at positions 459 to 887 of the family's 1831-position model. Lineage: Eukaryota; Fungi; Glomeromycota; Glomeromycetes; Glomerales; Glomeraceae. The record is from RNAcentral.